RNAcentral lists this ribosomal RNA (333 nucleotides) under Triticum aestivum (bread wheat). RNAcentral's name for it is "partial small subunit ribosomal RNA". Lineage: Eukaryota; Viridiplantae; Streptophyta; Magnoliopsida; Poales; Poaceae. The record is from RNAcentral.
AUGCCAUUCCUUUUCUUCCCCAGUGCUAGAUUUGACCAACUAGUCAGUCGUAUUCUGCUUGCUGGAUUGCCUGGCUGGUGGGGACACAGAUUGCCCUGCGCCUCCAUGGAAUCAGUUUGUUCUCCAUGGAAUAAAUGUGCCGAUUCUUCAUUUUCACCGAAAUGGCAACCAAGAUCUAGACUUUUGUUUUAUGCAUCCAGAAAUGUGAUUUUGUUGCGUAUCCGGUGGUACAAGAGUAGUUGGUGGCAACCCUUGUUUUUGUUGUCAGUACUACUUGAUUUGAUGAAAAUAUGUUUGGUUGAGCAAAACUGCAGUUGGCACUAUAACAGAUAA